Molecule: ribosomal RNA, 433 nt
Filed under: uncultured bacterium
Lineage: Bacteria
Description: partial 16S ribosomal RNA
Rfam family: Bacterial small subunit ribosomal RNA
Source: RNAcentral
AACGAACGCUGGCGGCAUGCCUAACACAUGCAAGUCGAACGAGACCUUCGGGUCUAGUGGCGCACGGGUGCGUAACGCGUGGGAACCUGCCCUUAGGUUCGGAAUAACUCCCCGAAAGGGGUGCUAAUACCGGAUCAUGUCUUCGGACCAAAGAUUUAUCGCCUUUGGAUGGGCCCGCGUUGGAUUAGCUAGUUGGUAGGGUAAAAGCAUACCAAGGCGACGAUCCAUAGCUGGUCUGAGAGGAUGAUCAGCCACACUGAGACUGAGACACGGCCCAGACUCCUACGGGAGGCAGCAGUGGGGAAUAUUGGACCAUGGGCGAAAGCCUGAUCCAGCAAUGCCGCGUGAGUGAUGAAGGCCUUAGGGUUGUAAAGCGCUUUUACCCGGGAUGAUAAUGACAGUACCGGGAGAAUAAGCUCCGGCUAACUCCGUG